Manis pentadactyla (Chinese pangolin) is the source of this 749-nucleotide long non-coding RNA. RefSeq lists it as uncharacterized. The transcript is spliced from 3 exons. NCBI's taxonomy places the organism in Eukaryota, Metazoa, Chordata, Mammalia, Pholidota, Manidae. The record is from RefSeq and is a predicted model, not a curated record.
GGGGCGGUGACCCGCUGCCCCGGCUUUGGGCGCACACACGCUCGCUCCUUGCAGCGCCUAGCGGUCCGAACCCUCUCGUCCACACGCCCUUCCGCCGCCCACGGAGAGCGCCCGGCGGGCGACCGCUACAACUUGAGGUGUACCUGUCAUCACAUACCGUUGGAGAUGGCACUAUACUCUUUCUCCCCUGAAAGUCUGUAAACACCAAAAGAGCAAGAACUUGGUGGCUUUACAUCUCUAUCCCCUACAGAGCACAGGACAGUUAUGUGGAAGAGUGUUGAAAAAGACUGCCUGCCAUGGAACUCCUGCCUCUUCCCAUCUGCGAAGCCCCUUGGUGAAUGGUGAUUCAGAGGCAAGGAUUCAUCACUGCCCGAUUCUUUGGACUGGUCUGUCCUCACAUGUCUUGAUUUCCUUAGUCCAGAAACAUAAGUGUGCUUUCAUUCCCUUAUUCAUAAUACUUGCUUGCUGGAGAAAAUAAGCAAUUUGUGAAACAAUAUUCACAGUGGCAAAAUCAUGGCCCUUUAAUGGGUUUUAAAGAGUGCGUCAGAGAGUGUUCUUUUCAAAUCACUGUGAAAUUCUCUAAAGCCCAUCCAAGCAAAGUUUUGGCUGUCAAAUACUCUCUUUCCUUAGGACCCAUGAUUCCCAAACUGCGCCCCAAUAGAACACCAGACAAAUUUGCUGUAUCUGCACAAUCAAAUAGUACUGGUAUUUCCCAAAUUUGAAAAACUAAAAUUUCUCCCUUAUGUCUU